AAUAGAUACCACGGUAGUCCACGCCCUAAACGAUGUCAACUAGCUGUUGGGGCCUUCGGGCCUUGGUAGCGCAGCUAACGCGUGAAGUUGACCGCCUGGGGAGUACGGUCGCAAGAUUAAAACUCAAAGGAAUUGACGGGGACCCGCACAAGCGGUGGAUGAUGUGGAUUAAUUCGAUGCAACGCGAAAAACCUUACCUACCCUUGACAUGUCUGGAAUGCCGAAGAGAUUUGGCAGUGCUCGCAAGAGAACCGGAACACAGGUGCUGCAUGGCUGUCGUCAGCUCGUGUCGUGAGAUGUUGGGUUAAGUCCCGCAACGAGCGCAACCCUUGUCAUUAGUUGCUACGAAAGGGCACUCUAAUGAGACUGCCGGUGACAAACCGGAGGAAGGUGGGGAUGACGUCAAGUCCUCAUGGCCCUUAUGGGUAGGGCUUCACACGUCAUACAAUGGUCGGGACAGAGGGUCGCCAACCCGCGAGGGGGAGCCAAUCCCAGAAACCCGAUCGUAGUCCGGAUCGCAGUCUGCAACUCGA
RNAcentral lists this ribosomal RNA (533 nucleotides) under uncultured bacterium. RNAcentral's name for it is "bacterial SSU rRNA". It matches the Rfam family "Bacterial small subunit ribosomal RNA", at positions 777 to 1315 of the family's 1533-position model. The record is from RNAcentral.